AGCAUUACGUCACAAAUGUGUGAGCACCUACACAAAGCCUGCAAAUGCUGGACAAGGAACCUCAUGCAAAUAAUAUGGCAGUAUUGGCAGGAAUGAUGGAGGAAUCCCUUUAAAAUGUACACUUCAGACAGCAGCAGCUAACAGAAGGCCUGACCAUCAGAAGGGAAAGUAUACAUGCAGAUGAAUGUGUGGCAGCACUGGGAUCCUCCACAUAUCCAGCUGAUUACGAGAACUAUGACUACCUCCAUAGUCAGAGUCAUUCUUUAGAAUCAGACAGAUGUGUAUGGGCUGGAGUAUGUACAUAUUAGGGCCAUAACAGUUCUGAAAACUGGUGAAGAGAAGCCACUCACCAUUUGAUACUAACAGCUCAAAGGUGAAGAAUAUUCCAUUAAAUAAAGCACUAAAGAAGAUAAGCCUCUCCUCAAGAGACAAAGGGCCAACCCCAAAUGAAGUCAACGCUGCGGGUCUUAAGGUCAUCUCCUGCUCAUGAGAAACUGGUCACUUCUGGUGUGAGUUAAGAUGAAUGGAGAGAGAAUUGGUUUCCAGAGACCACAGUGAAAAAGCUUAAGAACAUAAUAAAGACUGUAAGUUCCCCAAA
Molecule: long non-coding RNA, 598 nt
Filed under: Pongo abelii (Sumatran orangutan)
Lineage: Eukaryota; Metazoa; Chordata; Mammalia; Primates; Hominidae
Description: lincRNA
Source: RNAcentral